CAAACAUUUACUAAACCUCCAGUGACUACAAGGAAACACCUCUAACAGCAAAGUUCCCUGGGGAUUUGAAGACACGCCUAUGAAUCACAGGAACCAGAUUUCCCAAAGAGACUUUCCACUGGGAGGAGAAUAUACUGAUUGGCUGACGCCAGUGUUCUGGCAUCUAACCGGUAGUUACAUUGACCGUAUAAAGGCACCAGCUGCCAUUCUGCCUCUGGCUAACAGCUUGGAUGCAUUGGGCACUAACCAAACGCUCUAGAUGUGUCCUGUAUAAGCCUCGUCUCAUUUAUUCUUCUCAACAAUGCUAUCAAGGGUAGGGGCAGCCUGCAUGCAGGACAGGUGUUUCUCUUCUGCUCCCGUUCUCCAGCCACUAGGCAAACAUGAGUCAAGGCAAGUCUGAAGCCAGGUCUACAUCUGCCCCAAAGAUUCAAUUUCUCCAUAGGCAGGUCCAAAAUUUAGAUGUGGGAGGAAGGUUCAGAC
Molecule: long non-coding RNA, 480 nt
Organism: Equus quagga
Lineage: Eukaryota; Metazoa; Chordata; Mammalia; Perissodactyla; Equidae
Exons: 3
Source: RefSeq, a predicted model, not a curated record